Molecule: ribosomal RNA, 270 nt
Filed under: Salmonella enterica subsp. enterica serovar Infantis
Lineage: Bacteria; Pseudomonadati; Pseudomonadota; Gammaproteobacteria; Enterobacterales; Enterobacteriaceae
Also listed under: 6 other names
Description: partial 16S ribosomal RNA
Rfam family: Bacterial small subunit ribosomal RNA
Source: RNAcentral
AAAUUGAAGAGUUUGAUCAUGGCUCAGAUUGAACGCUGGCGGCAGGCCUAACACAUGCAAGUCGAACGGUAACAGGAAGCAGCUUGCUGCUUUGCUGACGAGUGGCGGACGGGUGAGUAAUGUCUGGGAAACUGCCUGAUGGAGGGGGAUAACUACUGGAAACGGUGGCUAAUACCGCAUAACGUCGCAAGACCAAAGAGGGGGACCUUCGGGCCUCUUGCCAUCAGAUGUGCCCAGAUGGGAUUAGCUUGUUGGUGAGGUAACGGCUCA